RNAcentral lists this ribosomal RNA (253 nucleotides) under uncultured bacterium. RNAcentral describes it as "partial 16S ribosomal RNA". It matches the Rfam family "Bacterial small subunit ribosomal RNA", at positions 524 to 776 of the family's 1533-position model. The record is from RNAcentral.
UACGAAGGGGGCUAGCGGUGUGCGGAGUUACUGGGCGUAAAGCGCGUGUCGGCGGGGCGUUAAGUUGGGGGUGAAAUCCCGGAGCUCAACUCCGGAACUGCCUUCAAAACUGGCGACCUGGACUCAAGCAGAGGCAAGUGGAAUUGCGAGUGUAGAGGUGAAAUUCGUAGAUAUUCGCAGGAACACCAGUGGCGCAGGCGCCUUGGUGGGCUUGUAGUGGCGCUGAGACGCGAAAGCGUGGGGAGCAAACAGG